AUCCUACGGGAGGCAGCAGUGGGGAAUAUUGCACAAUGGGGGGAACCCUGAUGCAGCAAUGCCGCGUGGGUGAAGAAGCACUCCGGUGCGUAAAGCCCUGUCAGCAGGGAAGAAAAUGACAGUACCUGACCAAGAAGCCCCGGCUAACUACGUGCCAGCAGCCGCGGUAAUACGUAGGGGGCAAGCGUUAUCCGGAAUUACUGGGUGUAAAGGGAGCGUAGGCGGCAAGGUAAGUAAGAUGUGAAAGCCCGCAGCUUAACUGCGAGGAUUGCAUUUUAAACUAUCUGGCUUGAGUACAGGAGAGG
RNAcentral lists this ribosomal RNA (305 nucleotides) under uncultured bacterium. Its description in RNAcentral is "bacterial SSU rRNA". It matches the Rfam family "Bacterial small subunit ribosomal RNA", at positions 335 to 657 of the family's 1533-position model. The record is from RNAcentral.